AUUGACCGCUGCGGCAGGCUUACCACAUGCAAGUCGGACGGUAGCAGGAGAAAGCUUGCUUUCUUGCUGACGAGUGCGGACGGGUGAGUAAUGCUUGGGGAUCUGUCUUAUGGAGGGGGAUAACGACGGGAAACUGUCGCUAAUACCGCGUAGAGUCGGGAGACGAAAGUGCGGGACCUUAGGGCCGCAUGCCAUGAGAUGAGCCCAAGUGUGAUUAGGUAGUUGGUGGGGUAAAGGCCUACCAAGCCGACGAUCGCUAGCUGGUCUGAGAGGAUGGCCAGCCACACCGGGACUGAGACACGGCCCGGACUCCUACGGGAGGCAGCAGUGGGGAAUAUUGCGCAAUGGGGGCAACCCUGACGCAGCCAUGCCGCGUGAAUGAAGAAGGCCUUCGGGUUGUAAAGUUCUUUCGGUGAUGAGGAAGGUUGGUGUGUUAAUAGCAUGCCAACUUGACGUUAAAUACAGAAGAAGCACCGG
Molecule: ribosomal RNA, 477 nt
Filed under: Aggregatibacter actinomycetemcomitans
Lineage: Bacteria; Pseudomonadati; Pseudomonadota; Gammaproteobacteria; Pasteurellales; Pasteurellaceae
Description: bacterial SSU rRNA
Rfam family: Bacterial small subunit ribosomal RNA
Source: RNAcentral